This 72-nucleotide transfer RNA is filed under the name Sphaerodactylus townsendi. RNAcentral describes it as "tRNA-Ala". It matches the Rfam family "tRNA". From Rfam's summary of the family: Transfer RNA (tRNA) molecules are approximately 80 nucleotides in length. Their secondary structure includes four short double-helical elements and three loops (D, anti-codon, and T loops). Lineage: Eukaryota; Metazoa; Chordata; Lepidosauria; Squamata; Sphaerodactylidae. The record is from RNAcentral.
GGGGCUGUGGCUCAGUAGUAGAACAUCUGGUUUGCAGGCAGAAAGUCCCAGGUUCGAUCCCCAGCAGCUCCA